This 498-nucleotide ribosomal RNA is filed under the name uncultured bacterium. RNAcentral's name for it is "partial 16S ribosomal RNA". It matches the Rfam family "Bacterial small subunit ribosomal RNA", at positions 28 to 508 of the family's 1533-position model. The record is from RNAcentral.
GAUGAACGCUGGCGGCGUGCCUAAUACAUGCAAGUCGAGCGAACAGACGAGGAGCUUGCUCCUCUGACGUUAGCGGCGGACGGGUGAGUAACACGUGGAUAACCUACCUAUAAGACCGGGAUAACUUCGGGAAACCGGAGCUAAUACCGGAUAAUAUAUUGAACCGCAUGGUUCAAUAGUGAAAGACGGUUUUGCUGUCACUUAUAGAUGGAUCCGCGCCGCAUUAGCUAGUUGGUAAGGUAACGGCUUACCAAGGCAACGAUGCGUAGCCGACCUGAGAGGGUGAUCGGCCACACUGGAACUGAGACACGGUCCAGACUCCUACGGGAGGCAGCAGUAGGGAAUCUUCCGCAAUGGGCGAAAGCCUGACGGAGCAACGCCGCGUGAGUGAUGAAGGUCUUCGGAUCGUAAAACUCUGUUAUUAGGGAAGAACAAAUGUGUAAGUAACUAUGCACGUCUUGACGGUACCUAAUCAGAAAGCCACGGCUAACUACGUGC